Molecule: ribosomal RNA, 514 nt
Filed under: Saccharothrix texasensis
Lineage: Bacteria; Bacillati; Actinomycetota; Actinomycetes; Pseudonocardiales; Pseudonocardiaceae
Description: bacterial SSU rRNA
Rfam family: Bacterial small subunit ribosomal RNA
Source: RNAcentral
UAACCUGCCCUGUACUCUGGGAUAAGCCUGGGAAACUAGGUCUAAUACCGGAUAUGACUCCACUAGGCAUCUUGUGGGGUGGAAAGUUCCGGCGGUACAGGAUGGACCCGCGGCCUAUCAGCUUGUUGGUGGGGUAAUGGCCUACCAAGGCGACGACGGGUAGCCGGCCUGAGAGGGUGACCGGCCACACUGGGACUGAGACACGGCCCAGACUCCUACGGGAGGCAGCAGUGGGGAAUAUUGCACAAUGGGCGAAAGCCUGAUGCAGCGACGCCGCGUGAGGGAUGACGGCCUUCGGGUUGUAAACCUCUUUCAGCAGGGACGAAGCGCAAGUGACGGUACCUGCAGAAGAAGCACCGGCUAACUACGUGCCAGCAGCCGCGGUAAUACGUAGGGUGCGAGCGUUGUCCGGAAUUAUUGGGCGUAAAGAGCUCGUAGGCGGUUUGUUGCGUCGGCUGUGAAAACUUCACGCUUAACGUGGAGCCUGCAGUCGAUACGGGCAGACUUGAGUUCG